RNA transcript from Physeter macrocephalus (sperm whale), 1662 nucleotides. RefSeq lists it as uncharacterized. The record is from RefSeq and is a predicted model, not a curated record. The transcript is spliced from 8 exons. Lineage: Eukaryota; Metazoa; Chordata; Mammalia; Artiodactyla; Physeteridae.
GGCGGUGGCGGCGCCGCUAACCGCUGCCCGGCGAACGGCAGUGCCCGCCCAGCAGCUGUGCCGCUGGGGCCGCCGCUGCCUCCUCUCGCUCGCCCUCCCGGUCCCUCCGGCCCGGCCCGCCCCCCGCGGAGAUGCUGCCGCCGCUCCGAAAAGCCCUGAGGCGCGAGCAGCUGGCCGCGGCGCUGGCCGGUGCUGAAGCUCAGGCUGUGGCCGAUGCUCCUAACGCCGCUGCCGCCACCGCUACGGGCGCCACUGUUGUUGUGAAGCCCCGACGCCGCCGCUCACUCCGCCAUGUUGCCGCCCCCUGCCUGCGGUACCGGCCACUGCGCCUGCGCAGAGCCUCCGGGGGCGGAACCCUCGUGCACCCCCUCUUUUGCCCUGCCCUCCUUCUCCUUCCACCCACCCAGCCCGACACCCCUCGUCCCUCCCCCAACCACCCUGAACGGAUAGACAGGAGGAGGUUCAUCAUCUUCGUCGUCGCAUCCAGCAGCUGCUACUGCCAGUGCCAGGUGCCUUGUAAGCCCGAGUCUCCUGGAGGCUUCCCUCUAACUCCAGGCUUGCUGGUACAUGCCUGGAUCACAUUUGUGCUUGGGCUGGGACAUUUCCUGCUAUCAACACCAGAAGCAGCUAGAAAACCAAAGAUCAAGGUGCUGGUGCCAGUGGUCAUUCUCCUUCCUGGUUGGAAGCUCCCUGGAGGGGGAUUUGUGGCAGCAGAAUUCUCACAUUCUCGAGGUGCUGAGGUGUGAGGAGACGGAGUGGGGAGCAUUAACUGUUGGAAGGAUCCCUUUUAUGGAUGCGUUACAUCGGGAACUAGCUAUCAGAGCAACUGGGGAGAAAUGGAAAACAGGUGCAGAAACAGCACGCAAGAGAGGAGGACCCGUGAGCUAUGUCUCUCCACGACUGGUGUUGGUGUCAGCUGCAAGAAACCAGCAGACAGAGUUGGGAAGCAAAUGUCAGAGCUCCUUCUCCUGGUUCCUGUGGGGUGAGGGCCAAGAAUACAAACUAGAGACCUCUGGGGUGAUACCUUACUUCAAUUAAGAAUGACCUGAAUCAGCUCCUUGCAGGACAGACAAACAAUCAGCCAGUGUGAACCACAUGAAGACCCAAGAUGUUGGAUGAAUCAGAUCAGCCUGAAAAAUUCAUCUGGUGACUCCGGGAACUGACCGUCAGCCAGAGGAACAUCUGAGAUGUCGCACGCAGCACCCAGGCAUUCGGACGAGCCACUGGCAUUAAGAAAGUUGCAGUGACAUUUCCCCGCAGCCUAUGCUUCCUUCCUGGCUCCUGGUAAGAAUGGCCAAGUACAUCCACAUGUGUCUACCCACUGCCCGGACAAAUCCAGCGCCACAUUCAAGACAGAUGUUUGUCCUUUGCAGCUUUUAUUUUUAGAGGCACGUUGUGUGGAAGUAAUGUCCAUUGGACUGGUUAUUUAUUUUGCUUUCUGCUUCAGGGAUGUUGAUAAAGAGUGAGGAUCUAAAUCAUUGCUUCCCCUCAACCAACUCACAGAAGGUGUCCUGGUGCAUUUUAUGUCCUGAGGGCAAAUGAAAAUUAUGUGUUGUGUGUGGCAAUUAUUUUCUAUGUUGCUGCUCCUUUCCCGGCAUAUAGAUGCGUCAAGAGGGUGACUGGUUAUCAGCUGGCAGGGGGAGGGGCGGGUGUGAGGGCAGA